AACGAACGCUGGCGGCAUGCCUAACACAUGCAAGUCGAACGCGACCUUCGGGUCUAUUGGCGUACGGGAUCGUAACGCGUGGGAACCUUCCCUUAUGGUCGGAAUAACUCCCCGAGAGGGGUGCUAAUACCGGAUAAUGUCUUCUGACCAAAGAUUUAUCGCCUUUGGAUGGGCCCGCGUUGGAUUAGCUAGUUGGUAGCUUAAAAGCCUACCAAGGCGACGAUCCAUAGCUGGUCUGAGAGGAUGAUCAGCCACACUGGGACUGAGACACGGCCCAGACUCCUACGGGAGGGAGCAGUGGGGAAUAUUGGACAAUGCGCGAAAGAAUGAUCCAGCAAGGCCGGGUGAGUGAUGAAGGAGUCAGGGUCGUAAAGCUCAGUUAAAAGGGAUGAUAAUGACAGUACCGGGAGAAUAAGCGACGGCUAACUACGUG
RNAcentral lists this ribosomal RNA (433 nucleotides) under uncultured bacterium. RNAcentral describes it as "partial 16S ribosomal RNA". It matches the Rfam family "Bacterial small subunit ribosomal RNA", at positions 29 to 507 of the family's 1533-position model. The record is from RNAcentral.